Molecule: ribosomal RNA, 179 nt
Filed under: uncultured freshwater bacterium
Lineage: Bacteria
Description: partial 16S ribosomal RNA
Rfam family: Bacterial small subunit ribosomal RNA
Source: RNAcentral
GUAGGGAAUCUUCGGCAAUGGACGAAAGUCUGACCGAGCAACGCCGCGUGAGUGAAGAAGGUUUUCGGAUCGUAAAACUCUGUUGUUAGAGAAGAACGUUGUGUAGAGUGGAAAAUUACACAAGUGACGGUAUCUAACCAGAAAGGGACGGCUAACUACGUGCCAGCAGCCGCGGUAAU